UGCAAGUCGAGCGAUGAAAUUCCUUCGGGAAUGGAUUAGCGGCGGACGGGUGAGUAAUGCAUGAACAAUCUGCCCUGUACAAAGGAAUAGCCUCGGGAAACCGGGAUUAAUACCUCAUAACACCGUUUGUUCGCAUGGACGAACGGUCAAAGAUUUACCGGUAUGGGAUGGGCCUGCGUCUGAUUAGCUGGUUGGUGGGGUAACGGCCUACCAAGGCGACGAUCAGUAGCCGGCCUGAGAGGGUGGACGGCCACACUGGGACUGAGAACGGCCCAGACUCC
This 281-nucleotide ribosomal RNA is filed under the name uncultured Eubacteriales bacterium. RNAcentral describes it as "uncultured Clostridiales bacterium partial 16S ribosomal RNA". It matches the Rfam family "Bacterial small subunit ribosomal RNA", at positions 56 to 339 of the family's 1533-position model. The record is from RNAcentral. Lineage: Bacteria; Bacillati; Bacillota; Clostridia; Eubacteriales.